Molecule: non-coding RNA, 74 nt
Organism: Cucurbita pepo subsp. pepo (vegetable marrow)
Lineage: Eukaryota; Viridiplantae; Streptophyta; Magnoliopsida; Cucurbitales; Cucurbitaceae
Source: the annotation of a RefSeq genome assembly
GACUGCAUAACGCAGUGGAUUAGCGCGUCUAACUUCGAAUCAGAAGGUUAUGGGUUUGACUCCCAUUGUAGUCA